CAGACCACUGAUUGUUCUGCUGACAGGUGAUAACUCUCUCCCCCACCAGCUCAAAGGCCGCCGGGCAUUCAAAGGCUGGGAGCCAUCAUGGCUGACUCACUAUGAUCUCAGGCUCCUGGGCUCAAGUGAUCUUUCGACCUCAGCCCCUGGAGUGGCUGGGACAACAGACAGCAAAUUUAACCAAGGUAAAUUUCAGCACCUUGAUUCACGUAUAUUGACAUUGAGGUGAAGAACUAUGACCUGUUAGAAUAAAACUGAUCAAAGAUGACCACAAAAGAUUUUAGUGUCUACCAUCUCUAAAAGGAACAUCACUUUUCAAAUCAAUUAAUGGAAAAGGAAGCUGGAGACUGUCCACCUGCUCUUUCCCUCAAUUGCCUCCUCUCCUCCUUCAAUGUCAUCUUAAGUGACUUCUCCUUAUUAAACACCAGGACAGAUGAAGAUACAAGGCAAUAUAAUUUUUUAUUUAUGUUUUUAUUUCUUGACACUGCCACUUUCAAGGUGAGAUGCCAUAAUUAACUUUUUAAAAACUUGUCAACUUACUUUAUUUUUCUUACAUUACAAACCACUAAGUCAAAUUAUUGUGCUAAACUUUAUAGUUUACUAAAAUGUAGGCCUGACAUAAACUAAUUGGUGCUAAGUUAUAUUUAAUGGGUUGUGCCCAGUUAGUUUCCUCAUGUUCCAAAUCACUGGAUGUAUUAGUCCAUAUUUGUACUACUAUAAGGAACUGCUCAAGACUGGGUAGUUUAUAAAGGAAAGAGGUUUAAUUGACUCACAGUUCAGCUGGGGAGGCCUCAGGAAACUUACAAUCGUGGUGGAAGGUAAAGGGGAAGCAAAGUGCCUUCUUCACAAGGCGGCAUGAAGGAGAGGAAUGCAGGGGGAAUUACCAAACACUUAUAAAACCAACACAUCUCAUGAGAACUCACUCACUAUCACGACAGCAGCAUAGUGGAAACCAUCCCCAUGAUUCGAUCACUCUACUUGGCCUCUCCUUUGACACAAGAAGAUUAUGGGGAUCAUAGGGACUAAAAAUCAAGAUGAGAUUUUGGGUGCAGACUCAGCCAAACUAUAUCACUGAAUAAGCAUAACAAGAACUGGUCAGAUUUUAUUUUGCUUUGAGAUUUUCAAGGCCAGCCUACUUCAUCGCAAACCACAAAAUGACACAAAUAAAAUCAGAAGUGCAAACUGAAGUCCUGGAAAUGAAUCAGUACUGAUUUUUCUUCAAGUCAAAACUUCUCAUAAAAAGAUGGUCCCUGUCUCCUAUUUAAUAAUAACUAAUCAUAAAAAUUUAACAAUAUGUAAU
RNAcentral lists this long non-coding RNA (1300 nucleotides) under Homo sapiens (human). RNAcentral describes it as "HSALNT0344706". Lineage: Eukaryota; Metazoa; Chordata; Mammalia; Primates; Hominidae. The record is from RNAcentral.